This 253-nucleotide ribosomal RNA is filed under the name uncultured bacterium. RNAcentral's name for it is "partial 16S ribosomal RNA". It matches the Rfam family "Bacterial small subunit ribosomal RNA", at positions 524 to 776 of the family's 1533-position model. The record is from RNAcentral.
UACGUAGGUGGCAAGCGUUGUCCGGAUUGACUGGGCGUAAAGGGCGUGCAGGCGGUUUGUUAAGUCUAGGGUGAAAGCUCCCGGCUCAACUGGGAGAGGUCCUUGGAUACUGGCGAACUUGAGGGAUGCAGAGGAAAGUGGAAUUCCCGGUGUAGUGGUGAUAUGCGUAGAUAUCGGGAGGAACACCAGUGGCGAAGGCGGCUUUCUGGGCAUUUCCUGACGCUGAGACGCGAAAGCGUGGGGAGCGAACCGG